GCACAAGCGGUGGAGCAUGUGGUUUAAUUCGAUGCAACGCGAAGAACCUUACCUACUCUUGACAUCCAGAGAACUUAGCAGAGCUGCUUUGGUGCCUUCGGGAACUCUGAGACAGGUGCUGCAUGGCUGUCGUCAGCUCGUGUUGUGAAAUGUUGGGUUAAGUCCCGCAACGAGCGCAACCCUUAUCCUUUGUUGCCAGCGGUCCGGCCGGGAACUCAAAGGAGACUGCCAGUGAUAAACUGGAGGAAGGUGGGGAUGACGUCAAGUCAUCAUGGCCCUUACGAGUAGGGCUACACACGUGCUACAAUGGCGCAUACAAAGAGAAGCGACCUCGCGAGAGCAAGCGGACCUCAUAAAGUGCGUCGUAGUCCGGAUUGGAGUCUGCAACUCGACUCCAUGAAGUCGGAAUCGCAUAGUAAUCGUAGAUCAGAAUGCUACGGUGAAUACGUUCCCGGGC
Molecule: ribosomal RNA, 457 nt
Filed under: uncultured bacterium
Lineage: Bacteria
Description: bacterial SSU rRNA
Rfam family: Bacterial small subunit ribosomal RNA
Source: RNAcentral